This 428-nucleotide ribosomal RNA is filed under the name Bacillota bacterium. Its description in RNAcentral is "Firmicutes bacterium partial 16S ribosomal RNA". It matches the Rfam family "Bacterial small subunit ribosomal RNA", at positions 355 to 776 of the family's 1533-position model. The record is from RNAcentral. Lineage: Bacteria; Bacillati; Bacillota. RNAcentral also lists the same sequence under 1 other name.
UGGGGAAUCUUGCGCAAUGGACGAAAGUCUGACGCAGCGACGCCGCGUGGGUGAUGAAGGCCUUCGGGUUGUAAAGCCCUGUGGGGAGAGACGAAUAAGUCGGAGCUAAUAUCUCCGGCGAUGACGGUACCUCCUUAGCAAGCACCGGCUAACUCUGUGCCAGCAGCCGCGGUAAGACAGAGGGUGCAAACGUUGUUCGGAAUUACUGGGCGUAAAGCGUGUGUAGGCUGCCGUGCAAGUCGGAUGUGAAAGCCCCGGGCUCAACCCGGGAAGUGCACCCGAUACUGCAUGGCUUGAGUACCGGAGAGGUUGGUGGAAUUCUCGGUGUAGAGGUGAAAUUCGUAGAUAUCGAGAGGAACACCGGUGGCGAAGGCGGCCAACUGGACGAGUACUGACGCUGAGACACGAAAGCGUGGGGAGCAAACAGG